Syngnathoides biaculeatus (alligator pipefish) is the source of this 639-nucleotide long non-coding RNA. RefSeq lists it as uncharacterized. The record is from RefSeq and is a predicted model, not a curated record. NCBI's taxonomy places the organism in Eukaryota, Metazoa, Chordata, Actinopteri, Syngnathiformes, Syngnathidae. The transcript has 3 exons.
AAGCGGGAGUCACUUGUUCCGCUCCAGGUCGCUUCGUCAACUGUUUGAGGAAGGAAGUCGGGCGGGGGCCAAAGAGGGGGCGAGGCAAAACCCGUCGGCAGGCGAGAGGAAGCGCUGUCACGUCCGGGAGGAAGCGUUGUGAAGGCGCCGGCGCAAAUUCCAUUGACCUGAAACCCCAAAAUGGUGAAAGAAACAGUUCCGCCGGAGUCCGUUCAGCUUGAGCGGCGCUGACCUCCGUCCAAGAAGGUUGGCAGCCCUCCGUAUGAAAGCAGUGGAAAACGGCGGAUUAGUGGACGCCAAACACGCGCCUCGUACAAGGACAUCGCAAUGCGCCGUGUUUUUUUUUUUUUUUGUGCUCUGUUGCUUGGCGACAAACAAUUUCCUAACCACACGGGGGGGUGUCGGUGCUCGUUGCCAUAAAGCGAGCACUUCGGCCUUCAAAGCGCGAGCGACUUCCGUCUGACGCGCUCCAAAAGAAGUCGAAACGGUUGCUUAGCUUAAAAUGGAUGUGUUGUAUGCUAGCAUGCUAGCUAAUUAGCUUUUUAAGAAGCUAGUUUUUGCUGGCCGGCUUAACAUCAGCUGGAUGCUAAACUACACGAUAUUUGGUACAGGUAAAGAGAAAAUAUAUCAAAGUUUAAU